This 392-nucleotide ribosomal RNA is filed under the name uncultured bacterium. Its description in RNAcentral is "bacterial SSU rRNA". It matches the Rfam family "Bacterial small subunit ribosomal RNA", at positions 28 to 417 of the family's 1533-position model. The record is from RNAcentral.
GACGAACGCUGGCGGCGUGCUUAACACAUGCAAGUCGAGCGGUAAGGCCCUUUCGGGGGUACACGAGCGGCGAACGGGUGAGUAACACGUGGGUGACCUGCCCUCAGCUCUGGGAUUAAGCCUGGGAAACCGGGUCUAAUACCGGAUAUGACUCCAUGACGCAUGUUGUGGGGUGGAAAGCCUUGUGCGGCUGAGGAUGGGCCCGCGGCCUAUCAGCUUGUUGGUGGGGUGAUGGCCUACCAAGGCGACGACGGGUAGCCGGCCUGAGAGGGCGACCGGCCACACUGGGGACUGAGACACGGCCCAGACUCCUACGGGAGGCAGCAGGUGGGGAAUCUUGCGCAAUGGGCGAAAGCCUGACGCAAGCGACGCCGCGUGAGGGAUGACGGCCU